AGUGAACGCUGGCGGUAGGCCUAACACAUGCCAGUCGAACGGCAGCACAGUAAGAGCUUGCUCUUACGGGUGGCGAGUGGCGGACGUGUGAGGAAUACAUCGGAAUCUACUUUUUCGUGGGGGAUAACGUAGGGAAACUUACGCUAAUACCGCAUACGACCUACGGGUGAAAGCAGGGGAUCUUCGGACCUUGCGCGAUUGAAUGAGCCGAUGUCGGAUUAGCUAGUUGGCGGGGUAAAGGCCCACCAAGGCGACGAUCCGUAGCUGGUCUGAGAGGAUGGUCAGCCACACUGGAACUGAGACACGGUCCAGACUCCUACGGGAGGCAGCAGUGGGGAAUAUUGGACAAUGGGCGCAAGCAUGAUCCAGCCAUACCGCGUGGGUGAAGAAGGCCUUCGGGUUGUAAAGCCCUUUUGUUGGGAAAGAAAAGCAGCAGGUUAAUACCCCGCUGUUCUGACGGUACCCAAAGAAUAAGCACCGGCUAACUUCGUG
Molecule: ribosomal RNA, 492 nt
Filed under: uncultured bacterium
Lineage: Bacteria
Description: partial 16S ribosomal RNA
Rfam family: Bacterial small subunit ribosomal RNA
Source: RNAcentral